Molecule: ribosomal RNA, 553 nt
Filed under: Streptococcus agalactiae
Lineage: Bacteria; Bacillati; Bacillota; Bacilli; Lactobacillales; Streptococcaceae
Description: bacterial SSU rRNA
Rfam family: Bacterial small subunit ribosomal RNA
Source: RNAcentral
UCCUUCUGACCGGCCUAGAGAUAGGCUUUCUCUUCGGAGCAGAAGUGACAGGUGGUGCAUGGUUGUCGUCAGCUCGUGUCGUGAGAUGUUGGGUUAAGUCCCGCAACGAGCGCAACCCCUAUUGUUAGUUGCCAUCAUUAAGUUGGGCACUCUAGCGAGACUGCCGGUAAUAAACCGGAGGAAGGUGGGGAUGACGUCAAAUCAUCAUGCCCCUUAUGACCUGGGCUACACACGUGCUACAAUGGUUGGUACAACGAGUCGCAAGCCGGUGACGGCAAGCUAAUCUCUUAAAGCCAAUCUCAGUUCGGAUUGUAGGCUGCAACUCGCCUACAUGAAGUCGGAAUCGCUAGUAAUCGCGGAUCAGCACGCCGCGGUGAAUACGUUCCCGGGCCUUGUACACACCGCCCGUCACACCACGAGAGUUUGUAACACCCGAAGUCGGUGAGGUAACCUUUUAGGAGCCAGCCGCCUAAGGUGGGAUAGAUGAUUGGGGUGAAGUCGUAACAAGGUAGCCGUAUCGGAAGGUGCGGCUGGAUCACCUCCUUUCUAAGGA